GACGAACGCUGGCGGCGUGCUUAACACAUGCAAGUCGAACGGAAAGGCCCUGCUUUUGUGGGGUGCUCGAGUGGCGAACGGGUGAGUAACACGUGAGUAACCUGCCCUUGACUUUGGGAUAACUUCAGGAAACUGGGGCUAAUACCGGAUAGGAGCUCCUGCUGCAUGGUGGGGGUUGGAAAGUUUCGGCGGUUGGGGAUGGACUCGCGGCUUAUCAGCUUGUUGGUGGGGUAGUGGCUUACCAAGGCUUUGACGGGUAGCCGGCCUGAGAGGGUGACCGGCCACAUUGGGACUGAGAUACGGCCCAGACUCCUACGGGAGGCAGCAGUGGGGAAUAUUGCACAAUGGGCGGAAGCCUGAUGCAGCAACGCCGCGUGCGGGAUGACGGCCUUCGGGUUGUAAACCGCUUUCGCCUGUGACGAAGCGUGAGUGGCGGUAAUGGGUAAAGAAGCACCGGCUAACUACG
RNAcentral lists this ribosomal RNA (466 nucleotides) under uncultured bacterium. RNAcentral's name for it is "partial 16S ribosomal RNA". It matches the Rfam family "Bacterial small subunit ribosomal RNA", at positions 28 to 505 of the family's 1533-position model. The record is from RNAcentral.